GACGAACGCUGGCGGCGUGCCUAAUACAUGCAAGUCGAGCGGGAACCUCGGGAGAGGCAACUCUUCCGAGGGGAGAGCGGCGAACGGGUGAGUAACACGUGGGCAACCUGCCCCGGACACCGGGAUAACUCAGGGAAACCUGGGCUAAUACCGGAUACCUCGGCGCGAUCGCAUGGUCGCGCCGGGAAAGCCCCGACAGUCCGGGAUGGGCCCGCGGCCUAUCAGCUUGUUGGUGGGGUAACGGCCUACCAAGGCGACGACGGGUAGCUGGUCUGAGAGGACGGCCAGCCACACUGGGACUGAGACACGGCCCAGACUCCUACGGGAGGCAGCAGUAGGGAAUCUUGCGCUAAUGCGCGAAAGCGUGACGCAGCGACGCCGCGUGCGGGAUGAAGGCCCUCGGGUCGUAAACCGCUUUCGGCAGGGACGAAGCGAAAGUGACGGUACCUGCAGAAGAAGUCCCGGCUAACUACGUGCCAGCAGCCGCGGUAACACGUAGGGGACGAGCGUUGUCCGGAUUCAUUGGGCGUAAAGCGCGCGUAGGCGGCUCGGAAAGUCGGUCGUGAAAUCCUGGGGCUCAACCCCGGAACUGCGUCCGAUACUUCCGAGCUGGAGGCAGGUAGGGGAGAUCGGAAUUCCUGGUGUAGCGGUGAAAUGCGCAGAUAUCAGGAGGAACACCGGUGGCGAAGGCGGA
Molecule: ribosomal RNA, 694 nt
Filed under: uncultured Actinomycetes bacterium
Lineage: Bacteria; Bacillati; Actinomycetota; Actinomycetes
Description: bacterial SSU rRNA
Rfam family: Bacterial small subunit ribosomal RNA
Source: RNAcentral